Long non-coding RNA from Gallus gallus (chicken), 3294 nucleotides. RefSeq lists it as uncharacterized. The record is from RefSeq and is a predicted model, not a curated record. Lineage: Eukaryota; Metazoa; Chordata; Aves; Galliformes; Phasianidae. The transcript is spliced from 2 exons.
GGAGCCGUGAGUCCGUGGGAUGGGGUGGGCUGAGGGGAGAGCGCUGUGCCCGUCCCUGCGGCGAUGCGGAGGGACCCUCGGGUCCUUUGUUGGGGAAAGAUGACAAAAGCAGCACAGUGCGGUGCCGCCCGGCUCAGCAUGGCACGGCACAGCGCAGUCCAGCAUGGCACAGCAUGGCACAGAGGGGCACGGCGUGGCACAAGAAAGCACGGCGCAGCACGGCGCAGCAGUGUGGCACAGCGCAGCGCUGAGGGGUCGGGGCAUCGCAUCCCCCCCGGUGCUGUCUCUGCGGUCGGAAUGCAGCACAUCCAUCCCCACGGCAGCUCUUCUGCCCGGCAGCAAUUAAUCAGCGGACAACAGCGGGGCAGCGCGCAGGGGAAGUGAGGGGGCUCAGCCUCGCCCCGCUCUGGGGAAGGGGGCUGAUAGACAGAACGUUUUUUGCCUCGGGCUGCAAGUCCUGCAAAACAAUUGCAGGAAAUCUCCUUUACAAGUGCAGACAAGACAUCGUGACCAACAAUCGCUCGGAAGGAAGGCACGGAGGGAACAGGGAAGCGCGUGCACUGAUAAGUGGGCGCUCUCUCAACGACGGGCGGGCGGCCAACGAGCAAGCAGAGGUAUGAAGAAUGCGUGAGUCACCGCCCACACAUCUGAUGUGCCGAAGUGCCGCAACACCCGUCGGUGCCAGCGGACCCCGAGGGCGCAGAACGGGGGCAAAUGGAGCUGUGCAGCUGCAGCCGGGAAAGGGGGGGGUGGGGGGUGGGGGGGCGCUGGGGUGGGGGUUUUCCCCUCCUGUGCUGAAGUUGCAGCGGAGCUGAUUGCAGCCCCCGGCAGCUGCGGGAGGUGAGAGCUGGGCAGAAAGCACCCAACGCCCGAGGAUGGCAAAGGCACGGGGAGAGGCGGGUGCUGUGUUAGGGGGGAACUGAUGGAGGGGCUCUGGCACAGCUGGAGCGAUGCAGCGGGGCUUUGUGCCCCUCUGCCCGCAGCCCCAACGCAGGCGGAGCUGUGAGCUCAGAGGGCAUAUAAAGGCUGCUGCUGCAGAAGGGAAAAAUGCAUUUAAUGAGGUCCUGCGCCCGGAGGAGCCCCGUUGUGCAGCACGGAACGGGCACGGGGAUGCGCUCAGGGGCGUGUGGGUGUCCCGCAGUCCGGUUUUGGCAUCACGAAGGCGACGAAGGCAUCGCAGAGCCACGCCGGGCAGUAGCUGAGAGGCAGCAGGAAGAGGAGCGCGUCCCACCCGGCGGCGUAACGGCUGCGGGGACUGCGGGAGAGCAGCGCGUGCUGCAUGCGGGAGGUGACGCGGGACAGGCGGGGGCUGCUCAGGCGGUACAGGAGGACACUGCGGUGGGCGACUGCAGGGCGGAGGGAGGAGGGAGGGGUCAGUGGGGCAGAGGGAUCCGUGGGGUGGCUGCAGCGCUGUGGGGGGAUGGGGGGAUGUACUGACAGGUCUCCAAGUAGCGGUGGCCGUAGGAUGCCCGGGUCUCUGCCGGGAGCUGCGCCCAGACGCGCUGCAGUUCCUUGGUUGCCGCUCUGGGGUCGGUCGCCCCCGUUCGGAAUCCGCCGGGUUCGAUGAUGGAGACCUUCACCCCGAAGUGUCGCAUCUCACACCUGAAUGGGGAUGGGGACAUCGCUGUCACUGCCCCAGGAUGGGACCCAGCGCUGCCUCCCCAGAGAUGGCGCUCCUCCAACCCUUUCCAUCUUUGCAUAACCGCUCAAUCCCCAACCCACAGGGACACCUUUCACAAUCCCCCCCUCCACCGCUCAGCGCCUUUCCCUUCUAUUGGGACAGGACUUGCCGGGGGGAGAGGGAGGGAGGGGAUGGCGAAAGCAGGACAGAGGCAAAGCAGCGCUGCUCCGCUGCUGCCAAACCCCGAGAGGGACACAGCCGGGCUGUGCUGUACCUGAGGCUGUCGGAGAAGGCCUCCACACCGAACUUGGAGGGGCAGUACCCCCCCCCGAAGAUGGAGAGCCGGCCCAUCACGCUGGCCACGUUGACCACGCGGCCCCGCGCCCGCUUCACCAGCGGCAGGAGGCUGAGCGUCACCUCGAUCAGCCCCACCAGGUUGACGUUCAGCACCGCCACGAAGUCCUCCUUCCUCAGCCACUCGUUGGGGGCGGCGGGGACGGCGAUGCCGGCGUUGUUCACCAACCCCCACAGCCCUGCAACGGGGACGGGCUCAGCCGGGACCCCCACCGUGCCCCCUCCCCUCCCCUCCCCGCCCGGCCGCCCCUCCUACCUCGCUCCCCCACGCGCUCCUGCACCCACGCGGCGGCGGCGGCGAUGCUGCUGCUGGAGGUGACGUCCAGCAGGACGGUCUGCAGGCGCGACGAGGCGGUCUCCCGCAGCCGUGCGGCCCCCGACUCGGUCAGGCAGCCCGCCAGCACCCGCAGCCCCCGCGCGUCCAGCUGCCGUGCCAGCAGGUCGCCGAAGCCCGAAUCGCAGCCCGUGAUCAGCACAAACUUCUCCUCCAGGCCGGGCACCGUCUGCCGCUCGCGGUGCCAACGCCGCAGCAGCCACAGCCCCAGCAGCGCCAGCAGCCACAGCCACAUCCUGCCUGGGGGGAAGAGAGGGGCUGAGCGGGGGCUGCCUGCAGGGCCCUGCGGGUCGGGGUCGUUUGGGGGGUUCAGCUGCCUCACCACAGCCCCGAGCGCGCUACGCUGGGGGCUACUCCCCGCAUUUGGGGUCUUUGGCUCUCAGAUGUGAGUCCUUGAGCUUCCCUGUCGGCUGCCACCCCAUCGGAACCCAUCGCAGCUGGUGCUCGGGGUGGGCGCUGGUUUGUGGCUCUCGGCCCUACCUGCCCCCCACCACCCCCUCUGUCCCCACCCUCCCACUGUGCACAGCACUCGGUUUCCAUUCCUUCAUCACACCUAUGAGGUUUCCCUUGGUCGUGAGGAGGACGCACUGAGGACACAGCCCAGUGCAGCCUCACCGCGCUCCCCCAGAGCACAGCACUGCAGCGGGGCGGCUUCAGAGCUGCCCCCACCGGCCCACAGAGCUCCCACCCCACUGGGACACCCCCACUCCAGCCUUGCCCGACCCCUCCUGCACAUCUCCCUGCGCUGUGCCCACCCUGGAGGAGCUGCACCUGCAAACACCACAGCACAAACCCCGGGGUUACCUGGGCAGCUCUGCACUGCUCCGCGAGUCCUCGCACAGCCCACGUCCCCGCGUAUAAAUAGAGCUCAGUGCAGACGAGCAGUGUCAUGCAGAGCGGGGCAGCACUGCCCGAAUUGCUACAGGUAGUGCUGCAAGGUGGGCAGGAUUGCACCAGCGCCGGAAUAAACCUCGACUGAACCUAA